GUUAUCCGGAGCAAAGUGCUCCGGCCUCAUUGAAGC
Thioalkalivibrio halophilus is the source of this 36-nucleotide non-coding RNA. The record is from Rfam. NCBI's taxonomy places the organism in Bacteria, Pseudomonadati, Pseudomonadota, Gammaproteobacteria, Chromatiales, Ectothiorhodospiraceae.